Arachis ipaensis is the source of this 825-nucleotide non-coding RNA. Lineage: Eukaryota; Viridiplantae; Streptophyta; Magnoliopsida; Fabales; Fabaceae. The record is from RefSeq and is a predicted model, not a curated record.
UAGUUGUCGUUCUGCCUCCCACCAAGCCCGUCCUGCCACUGACGUUGCCGAAUAGAGGAGGGCGACCACCACGAGGAGCCACCGCCGUCCUUGCUCGUCAUCUCCUUUGGAGCCGUCGCCGUCAAGGACCAGCGGAGAGAGAGAACGUGCGACGUUCAGGAAGGAGGAUGCGAGUCAGUGACGCAAGGAGGAGUGCGACCCACUGCGUGAAGUUGUGCCGCCGUGCCUUCCGUCGCCGUCGUGCCUUGGUGCCGUCGAAGGAGCCGCCGCUGGAGGAGGGUUUGCUGGAUGCUACUAUCACCAACAUCGCGGAAUACACGUAGAGUAGAGGAAGAAAGGAUCUUCACCGCGCCAGGUUGUUGUGCUGUGAUCAGAAGCCGUUGCUGUUAGAAAGCCCAUCUGCGGUGAGAGAGAGUUCACGAUGGUUGGAACUAUUGUCCUUUGCUCAGCCCCUGUUUCUGCUACUGUUUAUGUUGGCUCAUCCAUUACGGUCACUGGAGCUGCCCUGAACCCUGUUGUUGCUGCUCCGUUAUUUUAUUAGUGAAGAAUGAUCGGAAAUAAUGCUGCUGCCGUUGAUCGGAGAUGCCAAACUAUUGCUGCUACUACUUUGAGAUGAUAUGACUGCUAUUAAGGUUGUUGUUCAUGAGUGCAGCAUUCCCAAUUUUUAUGGAUUUCGAUACUUUGAGAGACACAGGUACGAAGAUUCAGUUUGAAGCUGCGGGCGAUUCUAGAAUUUAUUUACGAGUUAAGUUUAUGACUUGAGAUUCUUUCAUAGAAUUCCCUCGCCCUUACUGCUUAAGGUUUUUAUUUUAUGCAGAGGGAUAG